AGUAGAUGUUAUCACUGAGAUCUGAGGCAGGAAGCUCCAUUGCUUAAAUGAAUGAUGUGGCCUCAGUCAAGGAGAAGUCGUCCCUGGCAACAGUCAAGAACCUUGGUGCCGACCAACAGCAUUCUAUAUACUCUAUUCAUCCCGUAGUUGACGGGUUACAGGACCGAAUGACGUUCUAUAUUGUAACAUGUUUCUGUUUAGGUCCUGGGAAAAGGUGAGAUGUCAGGACUCGAAA
Molecule: non-coding RNA, 235 nt
Organism: Pelobates cultripes (western spadefoot toad)
Lineage: Eukaryota; Metazoa; Chordata; Amphibia; Anura; Pelobatidae
Source: the annotation of a GenBank genome assembly